RNAcentral lists this ribosomal RNA (253 nucleotides) under uncultured bacterium. Its description in RNAcentral is "partial 16S ribosomal RNA". It matches the Rfam family "Bacterial small subunit ribosomal RNA", at positions 524 to 776 of the family's 1533-position model. The record is from RNAcentral.
UACGGGGGGAGCAAGCGUUGUUCGGAUUUACUGGGCGUAAAGGGCGCGUAGGCGGCGUGACAAGUCACUUGUGAAAUCUCUGAGCUUAACUCAGAACGGCCAAGUGAAACUGUCGUGCUAGAGUGCAGAAGGGGCAAUCGGAAUUCUUGGUGUAGCGGUGAAAUGCGUAGAUAUCAAGAGGAACACCUGAGGUGAAGACGGGUUGCUGGGCUGACACUGACGCUGAUGCGCGAAGGCCAGGGGAGCAAACGGG